GAUGAACGCUGGCGGCGUGCCUAAUACAUGCAAGUCGAACGAGGUGCUUUUUGUAGCAAUACGAGGAGUAUCCUAGUGGCGAACGGGUGAGUAACGCGUGGGUGACCUACCCCAAAGUGUGGAAUAACAGUCCGAAAGGAUUGCUAAUACCGCAUGUGGUCAUUGGGUUUAGAAACUGAUGACUAAAGGAGCAAUCCGCUUUGGGAGGGACCUGCGUCCCAUCAGCUAGUUGGCGAGGUAACGGCUCACCAAGGCGACGACGGGUAGGGGACCUGAGAGGGUGGCCCCCCACAAUGGAACUGAAACACGGUCCAUACACCUACGGGUGGCAGCAGUAGGGAAUAU
RNAcentral lists this ribosomal RNA (345 nucleotides) under uncultured Chloroflexota bacterium. Its description in RNAcentral is "bacterial SSU rRNA". It matches the Rfam family "Bacterial small subunit ribosomal RNA", at positions 28 to 364 of the family's 1533-position model. Lineage: Bacteria; Bacillati; Chloroflexota. The record is from RNAcentral.